Molecule: ribosomal RNA, 262 nt
Filed under: uncultured bacterium
Lineage: Bacteria
Description: partial 16S ribosomal RNA
Rfam family: Bacterial small subunit ribosomal RNA
Source: RNAcentral
CCAGCAGCCGCGGUAAUACGUAGGGUGCGAGCGUUAAUCGGAAUUAUUGGGCGUAAAGCGCGCGCAGGCGGCCGUUUAAGUUUGGUGUUUAAGCCCCGGGCUCAACCCGGGUACGCACUGAAAACUGGGCGGCUUGAGUCCAGAAGAGGAGAGUGGAAUUCCAUGUGUAGCGGUGAAAUGCGUAGAGAUAUGGAGGAACACCAGUGGCGAAGGCGACUCUCUGGUCUGAAACUGACGCUGAGGCGCGAAAGCGUGGGGAGCA